Raphanus sativus (radish) is the source of this 502-nucleotide long non-coding RNA. RefSeq lists it as uncharacterized. NCBI's taxonomy places the organism in Eukaryota, Viridiplantae, Streptophyta, Magnoliopsida, Brassicales, Brassicaceae. The record is from RefSeq and is a predicted model, not a curated record. The transcript is spliced from 4 exons.
UUCCGUUUACUUCUCUAACGAGACCCAUCGGAGCCAUCAACAGUGACCUUUCUUUCCGCGUUCCUCUCUGCAUCUCCCUGCGGUGCCCUUGUCGCCAUUACUCCACCUGGAGCUGCUUCACCACAGCUACUGCAACUUUCGACCACUUCUCUGCACCAUUAAGAGUACAUAAUACUUGACGUUGGCCUUAACCCUUUGAUUAUUCCCUUGAUAGUGAACAUAACUUGAUGCAACUUCAACAUGAAUCUUUGCAUCCUCUGGCAUAAGGCUUCGAGGCCAUUACCCAAUAGCUUCUCCGAUGAACAACCGCAUCUCCUCAGCUGUGCUGAUAACUCGAGCUUUCUUGGACGAAGAACGGACCUGUGUCCAUCUACUGCAGUUUCAUCUUCUUGCAGCAUCUCCAGCUACUCGCUCCUUUGCUGCUCACGAUGAUCCAUGUUCUGUACCUUGAGACUUUAACUACUCCACCUUAAGCAAUUUCUUUUGCUUUUUCUGUAGCUAC